AUCGCUUCUCGGCCUUUUGGCUAAGAUCAAGUGUUGUAUCAAAUACUUUAUCAGGUAUCAUCCCAUCAGGCAAAUGGGUCCAAAUCCAGGUUUAUUAUACAGGCCAAGUGGUUAAAAGAAUAUAUUUUGUAAUAACUUACUACUAGUUUUACUUAAAUGAAAAAGAAAAUCUCAU
Molecule: small nuclear RNA, 175 nt
Organism: Heterocephalus glaber (naked mole-rat)
Lineage: Eukaryota; Metazoa; Chordata; Mammalia; Rodentia; Bathyergidae
Gene: U2
Rfam family: U2 spliceosomal RNA
About the family: U2 is a small nuclear RNA (snRNA) component of the spliceosome (involved in pre-mRNA splicing). Complementary binding between U2 snRNA (in an area lying towards the 5' end but 3' to hairpin I) and the branchpoint sequence (BPS) of the intron results the bulging out of an unpaired adenosine, on the BPS, which initiates a nucleophilic attack at the intronic 5' splice site, thus starting the first of two transesterification reactions that mediate splicing.
Source: Ensembl